UGGGGAAUAUUGCACAAUGGGCGCAAGCCUGAUGCAGCCAUGCCGCGUGUAUGAAGAAGGCCUUCGGGUUGUAAAGUACUUUCAGUCGGGAGGAAGGUGGUAAGGUUAAUAACCUUAUCAAUUGACGUUACCGACAGAAGAAGCACCGGCUAACACCGUGCCAGCAGCCACGGUAAUACGGAGGGUGCAAGCGUUAAUCGGAAUUACUGGGCGUAAAGCGCACGCAGGCGGUUGAUUGAGUCAGAUGUGAAAUCCCCGGGCUUAACCCGGGAAUUGCAUCUGAUACUGGUCAGCUAGAGUCUUGUAGAGGGGGGUAGAAUUCCAUGUGUAGCGGUGAAAUGCGUAGAGAUGUGGAGGAAUACCGGUGGCGAAGGCGGCCCCCUGGACAAAGACUGACGCUCAGGUGCGAAAGCGUGGGGAGCAAACAGG
Molecule: ribosomal RNA, 429 nt
Filed under: Chloroflexota bacterium
Lineage: Bacteria; Bacillati; Chloroflexota
Description: Chloroflexi bacterium partial 16S ribosomal RNA
Rfam family: Bacterial small subunit ribosomal RNA
Source: RNAcentral